Molecule: ribosomal RNA, 467 nt
Filed under: uncultured bacterium
Lineage: Bacteria
Description: partial 16S ribosomal RNA
Rfam family: Bacterial small subunit ribosomal RNA
Source: RNAcentral
GAUGAACGCUGACAGAAUGCUUAACACAUGCAAGUCAACUUGAAUUUGGGUUUUUAACUUAGGUUUGGGUGGCGGACGGGUGAGUAACGCGUAAAGAACUUGCCUCACAGCUAGGGACAACAUUUGGAAACGAAUGCUAAUACCUAAUAUUAUGAUAAUAGGGCAUCCUAUAAUUAUGAAAGCUAUAAGCGCUGUGAGAGAGCUUUGCGUCCCAUUAGCUAGUUGGAGAGGUAACGGCUCACCAAGGCGAUGAUGGGUAGCCGGCCUGAGAGGGUGAUCGGCCACAAGGGGACUGAGACACGGCCCUUACUCCUACGGGAGGCAGCAGUGGGGAAUAUUGGACAAUGGACCGAGAGCCUGAUCCAGCAAUUCUGUGUGCACGAUGAAGUUUUUCGGAAUGUAAAGUGCUUUCAGUUGGGAAGAAACAAAUGACGGUACCAACAGAAGAAGUGACGGCUAAAUACGUG